Molecule: ribosomal RNA, 412 nt
Filed under: Sphingomonas sp.
Lineage: Bacteria; Pseudomonadati; Pseudomonadota; Alphaproteobacteria; Sphingomonadales; Sphingomonadaceae
Description: bacterial SSU rRNA
Rfam family: Bacterial small subunit ribosomal RNA
Source: RNAcentral
GCAACGAGCGCAACCCUCGCCUUUAGUUGCCAGCAUUUGGUUGGGUACUCUAAAGGAACCGCCGGUGAUAAGCCGGAGGAAGGUGGGGAUGACGUCAAGUCCUCAUGGCCCUUACGCGCUGGGCUACACACGUGCUACAAUGGCGACUACAGUGGGCAGCAACUCCGCGAGGGGAAGCUAAUCUCCAAAAGUCGUCUCAGUUCGGAUUGUUCUCUGCAACUCGAGAGCAUGAAGGCGGAAUCGCUAGUAAUCGCGGAUCAGCAUGCCGCGGUGAAUACGUUCCCAGGCCUUGUACACACCGCCCGUCACACCAUGGGAGUUGGAUUCACCCGAAGGCGCUGCGCUAACUCGCAAGAGAGGCAGGCGACCACGGUGGGUUUAGCGACUGGGGUUGAAUCGUAACAAGGUAGCC